UCUCCAACGGUCUGAGGGACAGUAAACUGGCCCUCUGUUUAAAAAGUUUGAGGACCCCUGGAUUAAUGCCUUCCUGGCAGGGUGGUGAGUUUUCACUCUAUUAGUUCCUAAGAGAGCUCGUUGUUAAAGAGCCUGGUACCUGCCCCCCUCUCUUCCUUCCACUCUCACCAUGUGAUCUCCACACAAGCCAGCUCCAUGAGGGCCUGCCACCAAGAGUAGAAGCAGCCUGAGGCCCUCACCAGAGGCAGAUGCCCAAUCUUAAAUAUUCCAACUAUCUGAAACAUGAGCCAAAUAUACCUCUUUUCUUUAUAAGUUACCCAGCCUCAGGUAUUCCUUUAUAGCCACAUUAAACAGACUGAAAUAAUUAUAUAAAUAUAUGGCUUAUUCCAUUAACUCAUUAGGACAGCAAUGUGAAGAAAGUAUGGUGAGUCCCAUUUCACAGAUGACCAAUCUCCAGCACAAAGAGACUAAGACCCUCUCCAGAUUAAUGGCAGGACUGGAAUGAGGUUCCACCUCUUGCCCUCCCCCACAAUAUAACCAGCAGCUUCCCAUUUGGAAGAUGAUGGUUUUACACUUCCCCAGUGUGGGACCCUAUGAGUACUCACUCAACAAUCCCUCAUGAUGAAGAAGAGGAUGGUGGUGCCUACAAGAACUUGAGAGCUGCAAAUUUCCAGCCUUGAAGGGGGACCAUGGUGCGGCCUGUGAGACAUAAGAAACCAGUUAAUUACUCACGGUUUGAAAAGGACUCUGACAGCGAUGAUGAUUUUGUUUCUGCAACUAUACCUUUAAACAAGAAAUCCAGACCAUGGGAGUUAAAACAAGACAACCCAAAACCUAACUUGAAGACUCUCCAGAGUAAGGACAUCCCACUGCAAGAGACAACCCCUAAAAAAAGAAUGGCUUUAGAUGACAAGCUCUACCAGAGAGACUUAGAAGUUGCACUAACUUUAUCAGUGAAGGAGCUGCCAACAGUCACCAUUGAUGUGCAGAAGUCUCAAGAUAAAAGCAUUGAAGGACGUGGCAGUAGUAAAACAGAAACAAUGAAUAAGUCUCCUCAUAUCUCUAAUUGCAGUGUGGCCAGUGAUUAUUUAGAUUUAGAUAAAAUUACUAAAGAAGAUGAUGUUCGUGGUGUUCAAAGGAAAAGAAAAGCAGCAUCUAAAGCUGUGGUACAGGAGAGGAAGAUUCUUUUGGAAGGCAGCAAUAGUGACAGUGCUGAUGACACUGAACCAGACUUUGCAACUGGUGAAGAUUCUGAGGAUGAUUCUGAUUUUGGUGAGGGUGGAGAUAAUGAUGAAGACUUCACUAUGAGAAAAAGUAAAGUUAAAGAAAUUAAAAGGAAAGAAGUGAAGAUAAAAUCCCUGAUAGAACAGAAACAGAAGAAAUCUAAAUGCAAAUGUAGUGCUUUGGUGACUUCAGCAGACUCUGCUCCAGCUGCUGUCAAAUCAGAAUCUCAGUACUCAAAAAGGUUUCUCUUUCUUCAGAGGCCUCUAGAAAGCCAUUACAAAUAUUCAGUCCCUCAGCUGAAAGCAAGAGACCUAAGUGGGUGCCACCAGCGGCAUCUGGAAGUAGCAGCAACAAUAGCGGCCCACUGACAGGAGUGUUCGUUAAGUCUCCAAAUCAGAGUCUCCAUCUUGGCUUGUCCAGAUUAGCACGAGUUAAACCUUUGCAUCUAAGUGCCACUAUCAGCAGAGUGUAGUAGCAGAUUGAGAGAAUCAGUUUUACAAGUGUGUUUAUAUUUGAGGAGGGUAUUGUAAUAUAAAGGAAUCCUUUAACAUGUUAUAUAAAUGACCUGUACCCAUUCUGUGAUUGUGCUCUCUGGAAAGCUAUUCAAGACUUCAGUAAGAGAUUUGUUAAUGAGGAUUAUUUUCUUGUGCCAUUUCCUUCUGAAGAGCUAUUCUAUCUUCCUGUCAGUUUGACUUGGAGGAAGUCCACAUCACACGCUAUUCUUUUCUGGUAAUGUUAUAUUCCUUUCUAGUUCUGUCUGGUUUAUGCACCUUAACUUUAACUGUUCAGAGUUUUUGUGGCAAAAGGAAAAGUCCCCAUUUCUUUCAGGAGACAUUUCUGAAAUCUUACAAGCUACUUAAGCUAUAUUGUAGUUUUAUUGCAGAGAUGUUUUGUAUUUUAGCCAAAUCGUUUUAUAGUAAGAAUUCAGAAUUAUUUUAUACAUUCAAAUGGUUCUGUAUUAUGGCAUAUGUCUCCUACUUAAAAGUAGAUGGUUAUUCUAUAGCAAAUAGAAUUUAAUAUCAUUUUAUAAAAUCUUUCUUCAUUGUCAAAACCUUUAAUAAAAGUGGAAAAGCUUUGAAAUGCUCUUUUUCUUGAUACCAUUGCAUCUACAUUUGUCUCUGAUUUUCUAUAUUUCAUGAUAAAACAAGAGCUCUGCAAAGAAUGGUAGCC
Non-coding RNA from Microcebus murinus (gray mouse lemur), 2394 nucleotides. The record is from RefSeq and is a predicted model, not a curated record. Lineage: Eukaryota; Metazoa; Chordata; Mammalia; Primates; Cheirogaleidae.